RNAcentral lists this non-coding RNA (76 nucleotides) under uncultured eukaryote. The record is from RNAcentral.
UUACCUACAGCCACGCAUCGACAUCAGCAGCGGUGGCAACGAAAGCGGCGGUAUCUCCAGUAGCGGGAGCGGGAGC